UACGUAGGGUGCGAGCGUUGUCCGGAAUUAUUGGGCGUAAAGGGCUCGUAGGCGGUUUGUCGCGUCGGGAGUGAAAUCCACUGGCUUAACUGGUGGCUUGCUUUCGAUACGGGCAGACUGGAGGUAUGCAGGGGAGAACGGAAUUCCUGGUGUAGCGGUGAAAUGCGCAGAUAUCAGGAGGAACACCGGUGGCGAAGGCGGUUCUCUGGCAAUGUUCUGACGCUGAGGAGCGAAAGUGUGGGGAGCGAACAGG
Molecule: ribosomal RNA, 253 nt
Filed under: uncultured bacterium
Lineage: Bacteria
Description: partial 16S ribosomal RNA
Rfam family: Bacterial small subunit ribosomal RNA
Source: RNAcentral